GGUAGCGGGGGAUAACUAUUGGAAACGAUAGCUAAUACCGCAUAAAAUUGAUUAUUGCAUGAUAAUUGAUUGAAAGAUGCAAUUGCAUCACUACCAGAUGGACCUGCGUUGUAUUAGCUAGUUGGUGAGGUAACGGCUCACCAAGGCGACGAUACAUAGCCGACCUGAGAGGGUGAUCGGCCACACUGGGACUGAGACACGGCCCAGACUCCUACGGGAGGCAGCAGUAGGGAAUCUUCGGCAAUGGGGGGAACCCUGACCGAGCAACGCCGCGUGAGUGAAGAAGGUUUUCGGAUCGUAAAGCUCUGUUGUAAGAGAAGAACGGGUGUGAGAGUGGAAAGUUCACACUGUGACGGUAUCUUACCAGAAAGGGACGGCUAACUACGUGCCAGCAGCCGCGGUAAUACGUAGGUCCCGAGCGUUGUCCGGAUUUAUUGGGCGUAAAGCGAGCGCAGGCGGUUAGAUAAGUCUGAAGUUAAAGGCUGUGGCUUAACCAUAGUAUGCUUUGGAAACUGUUUAACUUGAGUGCAGAAGGGGAGAGUGGAAUUCCAUGUGUAGCGGUGAAAUGCGUAGAUAUAUGGAGGAACACCGGUGGCGAAAGCGGCUCUCUGGUCUGUAAC
RNAcentral lists this ribosomal RNA (620 nucleotides) under uncultured Bacilli bacterium. RNAcentral's name for it is "bacterial SSU rRNA". It matches the Rfam family "Bacterial small subunit ribosomal RNA", at positions 132 to 740 of the family's 1533-position model. Lineage: Bacteria; Bacillati; Bacillota; Bacilli. The record is from RNAcentral.